UACGUAGGGUGCGAGCGUUAAUCGGAAUUACUGGGCGUAAAGCGUGCGCAGGCGGUUUUGCACGUCCGAUGUGAAAGCCCCGGGCUUAACCUGGGAACUGCGUUGGAAACGGCAAGACUAGAGUAUGUCAGAGGGGGGUAGAAUUCCACGUGUAGCAGUGAAAUGCGUAGAGAUGUGGAGGAAUACCGAUGGCGAAGGCAGCCCCCUGGGAUAAUACUGACGCUCAGGCACGAAAGCGUGGGGAGCAAACAGG
RNAcentral lists this ribosomal RNA (253 nucleotides) under uncultured bacterium. RNAcentral's name for it is "partial 16S ribosomal RNA". It matches the Rfam family "Bacterial small subunit ribosomal RNA", at positions 524 to 776 of the family's 1533-position model. The record is from RNAcentral.